RNAcentral lists this ribosomal RNA (1145 nucleotides) under Clostridioides difficile. Its description in RNAcentral is "bacterial LSU rRNA". It matches the Rfam family "Bacterial large subunit ribosomal RNA", at positions 1778 to 2925 of the family's 2925-position model. The record is from RNAcentral. Lineage: Bacteria; Bacillati; Bacillota; Clostridia; Peptostreptococcales; Peptostreptococcaceae.
CGCAGAGAAUAGGCCCAAGCGACUGUUUACCAAAAACAUAGGUUUCUGCUAAGUCGCAAGACGAUGUAUAGGAGCUGACGCCUGCCCGGUGCUGGAAGGUUAAGGGGAUCUGUUAGAGCAAUCGAAGCAGUGAACUUAAGCCCCAGUAAACGGCGGCCGUAACUAUAACGGUCCUAAGGUAGCGAAAUUCCUUGUCGGGUAAGUUCCGACCCGCACGAAAGGCGUAACGAUUUGGGCACUGUCUCAACAACAGACUCGGUGAAAUUGUAAUUCCGGUGAAGAUGCCGGAUACCUGCGACAGGACGGAAAGACCCCAUGGAGCUUUACUGUAGCUUGACAUUGGGUCUUGGUACUACAUGUACAGGAUAGGUGGGAGGCUUUGAAACCAGGACGCCAGUUUUGGCGGAGCCAUCCUUGGGAUACCACCCUUGUAGUACUGGGACUCUAACCAUAGGCCAUGAAUCUGGUCUUGGGACACUGUCAGGUGGGCAGUUUGACUGGGGCGGUCGCCUCCCAAAAGGUAACGGAGGCGCUCAAAGGUUCUCUCAGUACGGUCGGAAAUCGUACGUAGAGUGUAAAGGCAAAAGAGAGCUUGAUUGCAAGACAUACAGGUCGAGCAAGGAUGAAAAUCGGACUUAGUGAUCCGGUGGUUCUGCGUGGAAGGGCCAUCGCUCAACGGAUAAAAGCUACCCUGGGGAUAACAGGCUUAUCUCCCCCAAGAGUCCACAUCGACGGGGAGGUUUGGCACCUCGAUGUCGGCUCAUCACAUCCUGGGGCUGUAGUAGGUCCCAAGGGUUGGGCUGUUCGCCCAUUAAAGUGGUACGCGAGCUGGGUUCAGAACGUCGUGAGACAGUUCGGUCCCUAUCCGUCGCAGGCGUAGGAAAUUUGAGAAGACCUGUCCUUAGUACGAGAGGACCGGGAUGGACGUACCUCUGGUGUACCAGUUGUCCUGCCAAGGGCAUGGCUGGGUAGCUAUGUACGGAAUGGAUAAGCGCUGAAAGCAUCUAAGCGCGAAGCCAACUUCAAGAUAAGAUUUCCCACCGCAAGGGUAAGACCCCAGAAAGACUAUCUGGUUGAUAGGUCGAAGGUGUAAGUGCAGCAAUGUAUUUAGCUUAUCGAUACUAAUAGGUCGAGGACUUGACCAA